RNAcentral lists this ribosomal RNA (429 nucleotides) under Gemmatimonadota bacterium. RNAcentral describes it as "Gemmatimonadetes bacterium partial 16S ribosomal RNA". It matches the Rfam family "Bacterial small subunit ribosomal RNA", at positions 355 to 776 of the family's 1533-position model. The record is from RNAcentral. Lineage: Bacteria; Pseudomonadati; Gemmatimonadota.
UAGGGAAUCUUCGGCAAUGGACGAAAGUCUGACCGAGCAACGCCGCGUGAGUGAAGAAGGUUUUCGGAUCGUAAAACUCUGUUGUUAGAGAAGAACAAGGACGUUAGUAACUGAACGUCCUCUGACGGUAUCUAACCAGAAAGCCACGGCUAACUACGUGCCAGCAGCCGCGGUAAUACGUAGGUGGCAAGCGUUGUCCGGAUUUAUUGGGCGUAAAGCGAGCGCAGGCGGUUUCUUAAGUCUGAUGUGAAAGCCCCCGGCUCAACCGGGGAGGGUCAUUGGAAUCUGGGAGACUUGGGUGCAGAAGAGGAGAGUGGAAUUCCAUGUGUAGCGGUGAAAUGCGUAGAUAUAUGGAGGAACACCAGUGGCGAAGGCGGCUCUCUGGUCUGUAACAGACGCUGAGGCUCGAAAGCGUGGGGAGCAAACAGG